UGGAUAGGGGUUCUGAGAGGAAGGUCCCCCACAUUGGAACUGAGACACGGUCCAAACUCCUACGGGAGGCAGCAGUGAGGAAUAUUGGUCAAUGGACGAGAGUCUGAACCAGCCAAGUAGCGUGAAGGAUGAAGGUCCUACGGAUUGUAAACUUCUUUUAUAAGGGAAUAAACCCUCCCACGUGUGGGAGCUUGUAUGUACCUUAUGAAUAAGCAUCGGCUAACUCCGUGCCAGCAGCCGCGGUAAUACGGAGGAUGCGAGCGUUAUCCGGAUUUAUUGGGUUUAAAGGGAGCGCAGACGGGUCGUUAAGUCAGCUGUGAAAGUUUGGGGCUCAACCUUAAAAUUGCAGUUGAUACUGGCGUCCUUGAGUGCGGUUGAGGUGUGCGGAAUUCGUGGUGUAGCGGUGAAAUGCUUAGAUAUCACGAAGAACUCCGAUUGCGAAGGCAGCACACUAAUCCGUAACUGACGUUCAUGUCUCGAAAGUGUGGGUAUCAAACAGGAUUAGAUACCCUGGUAGUCCACACGGUAAACGAUGGAUACUCGCUGUUGGCGAUAUACGGUCAGCGGCUUAGCGAAAGCG
RNAcentral lists this ribosomal RNA (580 nucleotides) under uncultured bacterium. RNAcentral's name for it is "bacterial SSU rRNA". It matches the Rfam family "Bacterial small subunit ribosomal RNA", at positions 280 to 859 of the family's 1533-position model. The record is from RNAcentral.